This 506-nucleotide ribosomal RNA is filed under the name uncultured bacterium. RNAcentral describes it as "bacterial SSU rRNA". It matches the Rfam family "Bacterial small subunit ribosomal RNA", at positions 1 to 511 of the family's 1533-position model. The record is from RNAcentral.
GCCCAGAGUUUGAUCCUGGCUCAGGAUGAACGCUGGCGGCGUGCCUAACACAUGCAAGUCGAGCGGAGCAGUUGCCCGGAAAUUUUCGGAUGGAAAGGCAGCAACUUAGCGGCGGACGGGUGAGUAACGCGUGGGCAACCAACCUUGAUCAGGGGGACAACAUUGGGAAACCAGUGCUAAUACCGCAUGACUCUACAGGACGGCAUCGUGGUGUAGAGAAAGAUUGUAUCGGAUCAAGACGGGCCCGCGUCUGAUUAGCUGGUUGGUGGGGUAACGGCCCACCAAGGCGAUGAUCAGUAGCCGACCUGAGAGGGUGACCGGCCACACUGGAACUGAGACACGGUCCAGACUCCUACGGGAGGCAGCAGUGGGGAAUAUUGCACAAUGGGGGAAACCCUGAUGCAGCAACGCCGCGUGAGCGAAGAAGCCUUCGGGUCGUAAAGCUCUGUCCUAUGGGAAGAANAGUGACGGUACCAUAGGAGGAAGCCCCGGCUAACUCGUGCCAG